GACGAACGCUGGCGGCGUGCUUAACACAUGCAAGUCGAACGGAAAGGCCCUGCUUUUGUGGGGUGCUCGAGUGGCGAACGGGUGAGUAACACGUGAGUAACCUGCCCUUGACUUUGGGAUAACUUCAGGAAACUGGGGCUAAUACCGGAUAGGAGCUCCUGCUGCAUGGUGGGGGUUGGAAAGUUUCGGCGGUUGGGGAUGGACUCGCGGCUUAUCGGCUUGUUGGUGGGGUAGUGGCUUACCAAGGCUUUGACGGGUAGCCGGCCUGAGAGGGUGACCGGCCACAUUGGGACUGAGAUACGGCCCAGACUCCUACGGGAGGCAGCAGUGGGGAAUAUUGCACAAUGGGCGGAAGCCUGAUGCAGCAACGCCGCGUGCGGGAUGACGGCCUUCGGGUUGUAAACCGUUUUCGCCUGUGACGAAGCGUGAGUGACGGUAAUGGGUAAAGAAGCACCGGCUAACUACGUG
Molecule: ribosomal RNA, 468 nt
Filed under: uncultured bacterium
Lineage: Bacteria
Description: partial 16S ribosomal RNA
Rfam family: Bacterial small subunit ribosomal RNA
Source: RNAcentral